AAACAAAAGUUAGCCAUCUUAUUGACAGUUUGGCAAAGCUGAUGAAGUUGACCCAUUUGGCCAAAAUCACGUCCAUCUUAAUUAUAAGCCCCAUUUCCCUUUUUAAUCAGCUCAAACGAGCAGCCCAAACCAUAAGAACCGUCAACAAAAUGUUAGUUAGCUACGCUCAACAAUACACAUACAUAUUUUUUAUCCAAUUUCUCUCUAAACCUAAUUCCAAAGCCGGCGGCAUCGAUUCAAUUUCUUCUCCCCAUUCCAUUUUCGAUUUAGAUCCGAACUCCAUCGAUCAUUGACGGACUUUAUCAAUACCAUUUUUGUGCAAAUUUCCCAUCACCUAUCUUAGCAUAUCACAAGAAUCCAAGAAUGCUUUUACAGAGGUCUGAGCACAAGAGAUCCGUUCACGGGUCUAAUUCAAAUCCAACUUUGAAAUCCCGCCUAAAAAAAAUUCCAUCGCAUAAACCCUAUCUUUCUUCUAUAAAUACAUCUCUAACUCUCAGCCGAAAUCAUCUUUUUUGACACUUAAGAUUUACCAUAGUUUCACCAUCAAAAUUAUUGCUUUAAGGAAUUUUAGCCAACACUUAACACCUUGAAAAUACUCUCAUCAUCUUCCAAAGCUUUCUUUUCUUUUUUGGUGAACUUUAGCCUCGGAAAAGGUAUUCAAACUCAUCCCACUCUAGUUUCAAAUCUGUUCAUAACGAAAGAGUAGGUUCGAGGCCCCGACGUCCCGUUCACUGCACCAACAAGAGAGCUGAAGAGUUUCACUUUGAGACUCAACGACGUUGUUACCGCAUGGAGUCUGCAUGUCCACUAUUCUUUCUAGUCUCUCAAACAUCCAAUUACAGAGGAUAUUUUGUCCUCCUGUAGAAGCCGAACAGGACCGUUGAAUCAUCUCAUUUUAGUUCUGCUUGUUUCAUUUACUUGUGUUGGUGUGGCUAACAUUUAUCUUUGAUUAUGUAUUUACUGCUUCCCUAAACUCAGAAUGAGCAUAAGAUACUAGCUGCAGUAUUAUGUAGAGUUUUUUUUUUUCAUCUUUAGGCAGCAGUGAGGAAUACUUUUUAUAAUAUAGAACCAGGCACUUGGAUAAAGAUUUUAACUUGGAGGAUUUUGUGUCAGGUAUAUUAAGUGAAGUCAUUUGGGUUCUUUUUGGUACUUCACAACCUUUUUCAUGUCAAAUCUUUGUAUUUUCAUAAAUGAUGAGUGUCGUCAACAACAUUUUGAACUGAGGAAGUGAUUUUGCAAGACGUGGGUCUUUCAAUAUGAUAUUGAUACAAAUAGUUUCAUCUAAAAUCAUUUUGUCAUCUAGUUCUCGUCCAAUACCUCAUUUUUUAAACAUAUUUAUAUUUUUACAUUCACAUCUGGCCAGAUAGAUGUCUUUGACCCACUUGAAAAUGUGAACCUUAUAAAUGAUUUUCUUUGGCUGACCUUACAAAUUCAAUUUCCUUUAGUUCACUAUUUGAUUCCAGUCUACUACUGCUACUUUCCAAUGACCAAAUUUAUGUUAUUGUACCAACUUUAAUCACUACUUUAAAUUAUUUAGACCUUUUCGCAAGAUCUUAGCCUUUUUAAUUAACUCUAAGUCCGGUCAGCUAACCAUUGUUAAUGGAUCUUAAAGGAUGCUUAAUACCUUCCCUUAAGAUUAAUUGAACCCUUAUCUAGAAUCUUUAAGUUUAGUAGACCUUAAACGGAGUUAACUUUAGACAAUUACUUUAAUGAACUUUAGGUGUCCUAAUUCACCAUAAAUAAUUAGGUGGCGACUCCUUAAUUUUAAUUAACCCCGGAAUUACCGGAAUGUUGUAAACCAUUUUGACCUUGGUUAAAAAGGGGUAUAACAUUGAGUCCUUGCAAGAUCCCCAAUCGGCAUCACAGAAGGCCAAAAGAGAAAAAGAAGUAGAUGAGUUGAGAAAGAGACCUUGUUGAGGAUUGUUUCAGAGGUACUGAAGAACUCGAAGAGCAGCAGAAAAAUGACCAACACAAGGACUUUGCAUAUACUGGCUCAAAAUCAGGAUAGUGAAUGAAAGAUCCGACCUUGUGUGAGUCAAAUAGUUCAAUUUACUAACUAAGCAUCGAUAAAUAGUGAGAUUUUCCAGAAGAGUACCCCCAUCUGCAGUUAUCUUGAGUUGAGGAUCAAGUGAAGAAGAGACCUUAGGAAGAACAGCAUAAUCAAAUUCCUCAAAUGAUAAAGUUUUUCCCCAUUAGGCUGACCAAACCUUUGUUCAAGGUCUGUCCAGAGAUCUUUUGCUGUUUUGGAGUAAAGAACACUAUCAGCUAUGUCCUUAGAGAGAGGAUUCAGCAACCAAGAUGUGACCAUGUCAUUGCAUCUGUUCCAGAUCUGAAAAGUUGGAUCCGUGGAAACUGGAGCAAGACAGGUGCCAUCUAUAAACCCUAGCUUAUUCUUAGCUGAGACAGAGAUGAGGAUGGACCUUCUCCAUCCAGGAUAUCCUCUUCGAUUGAAAGAGGUAUUAACCAGCACCAUACCUGGUGCAUCAGAAGCAUGAAGAUAAAAGGGACUGCUGGAAUCAAUGGCAUUGUUACUGCCUCCAGCACCAGUGGAAGAAUCAGUUUGAGGCAUGGCUGAAGGAUAUUGAGUGAAAGAGAAAACAGAUUAAGUAGAAGAGCUAUGGAGAAAAUCCUUGUGCUCUGAUACCAUGUAGAAACUUUACUUGGAGAGGAAGAAUUGGAAAUUUUCUCUAUAUUGAAUGAAUAAUCUGUACAGUUGUUGUUCUAUUUGUACAAGUAUAAUCUGAGAAAAAUAAAUAGAAAAAUAAACUAAUUUGUACACUUGUGCUCUUCCUAUUGCUUACAUCAUAACAAACUUAAUCAUCAAAAUAUUCCUUUCUAUGUACAGCUGUAUAUUUCUUGUCGUACUAAUCUGAAUUUGUGUCAUGUUGGGCUGCUGUGUCAUGUUGGGCUACAUUUGUUGAAUCAGCUAAAAGAGGCCCAAACUUUAAUUUGCCUGA
This is a long non-coding RNA of Lycium ferocissimum, 2957 nucleotides long. RefSeq lists it as uncharacterized. The record is from RefSeq and is a predicted model, not a curated record. The transcript is spliced from 2 exons. NCBI's taxonomy places the organism in Eukaryota, Viridiplantae, Streptophyta, Magnoliopsida, Solanales, Solanaceae.